Molecule: ribosomal RNA, 1471 nt
Filed under: Odondebuenia balearica (coraline goby)
Lineage: Eukaryota; Metazoa; Chordata; Actinopteri; Gobiiformes; Gobiidae
Description: partial 16S ribosomal RNA
Rfam family: Bacterial large subunit ribosomal RNA
Source: RNAcentral
GCCCCACCAGCUAGCCCCACCUCGGAUAAGCAACAACCGACGUCAAUAACCCUCGACCUACUACCAAACCCCAACCAAAACAUUUUUCCGCCUUAGUAUCGGAGACAGAAAAGGAACAUUGGGCGCUAUAGCAAAAGUACCGCAAGGGAAAGCUGAAAGAGAGUUGAAAGAGCCCAGUAAAGGAUAAGAAAGCAGAGAUUAACCCUCGUACCUUUUGCAUCAUGAAUUAGUUAGUAACCCUCAAGCAAAGCGUUCUUCACGUUUGAGCCCCCGAAACUAGGCGAGCUACCCCAAGACAGCCUAUUAUAGGGCACACCCGUCUCUGUGGCAAAAGAGUGGGAAGAGCUUUGGGUAGGGGUGACAGACCUAUCGAGCCUAGUUAUAGCUGGUUGCCUAAGAAUUGAAUAGGAGUUCACCCUUUUGACUUUUUUACCCCAGCGAGGCCCACCCGCCCUACGACUAAGAGAACACCAAAAGAGUUAUUCGAAGGGGGCACAGCCCCUUCGAACUAAGACACAACUUUAAUGAAGGCUAAAGAUCAAACAACACAAGGUGUCGUACCCAAGUGGGCCUAGAAGCAGCCACCCCUCCAGAAAGCGUUAAAGCUUAAGUACAUAAGACCAAUGAUACCGACAAAACUAUCUCAAGCCCCUUUAUAUAUUAGGCCCUCCCAUGCCCCCAUGGGAGAGAUACUGCUAACAUGAGUAAUAAGAGGGCUUAGCCCCUCUCCUUGCAGAUGUGUAAAUCAGAGCGGACCCCCGCUGAAAAUUAACGCCCCCAUAGCAGAGGGAACUGGGUGAGAAUAGCUGAGCCAAGAAGCCCCCCCAGACACAAGCGUUGACCCCACACAGGACUGCCUCUAGGAAAGACAUAAAGAGAAAGAAGGAACUCGGCAAACACCCUAGCCUCGCCUGUUUACCAAAAACACCGCCUCUUGCAUCGACAGUAUAAGAGGUCCCGCCUGCCCUGUGACAAAAGUUUAACGGCCGCGGUAUUUUGACCGUGCGAAGGUAGCGUAAUCACUUGUCUUUUAAAUGGAGGCCUGUAUGAAUGGCUUAACGAGGGCUAAGCUGUCUCCUUUCUUUAGUCAAUGAAAUUGAUCUGCCCGUGCAGAAGCGGACAUAUUAACAUAAGACGAGAAGACCCUAUGGAGCUUCAGACUCCCGGGCAGGCCGCGUUAAAGACCCCAUUUCAAAGGAUUAAACCAAGCGGCCGCUGCCCCCCGUCUUUGGUUGGGGCGACCACGGGGUAACACCAAACCCCCGCGCGGAACGGAACCCUCCUAAGGCACGGCCCACCGGCCUAACCACCAGAAAAUCUGACCCUAAGACCCGGCUUAACGCCGAUCAACGGACCUAGUUACCCUAGGGAUAACAGCGCAAUCCCCUUUUAGAGCCCACAUCGACAAGGGGGUUUACGACCUCGAUGUUGGAUCAGGACCUCCUAAUGGUGCAGCCGCUAUUAAGGGUUC